UGAGACUGUUCCAUGUAGGUGAA
Molecule: unclassified non-coding RNA, 23 nt
Filed under: Mus musculus (house mouse)
Lineage: Eukaryota; Metazoa; Chordata; Mammalia; Rodentia; Muridae
Description: oocyte_clustered_small_RNA2838
Source: RNAcentral